RNAcentral lists this ribosomal RNA (497 nucleotides) under uncultured bacterium. RNAcentral describes it as "partial 16S ribosomal RNA". It matches the Rfam family "Bacterial small subunit ribosomal RNA", at positions 28 to 507 of the family's 1533-position model. The record is from RNAcentral.
GUUGAACGCUGGCGGCGUGCCUAAUACAUGCAAGUCGAGCGACAGGACGAGAAGCUUGCUUUUCUGAUGUUAGCGGCGGACGGGUGAGUAACACGUGGAUAACCUCUCUAUAAGACUGGGAUAACUUCGGGAAACCGGAGCUACUACCGGAUAAUAUUUUGAACCGCAUGGUUCCAAAGUGACAGACGGUCUUGCUGUCACUUAUAGAUGGAUUCGCGCUGCAUUAGCUAGUUGGUCAGGUAACGGCUUACCAAGGCGACGAUGCAUAGCCGACCUGAGAGGAUGAUCGGCCACACUGGAACUGAGACACGGUCCAGACUCCUACGGGAGGCAGCAGUAGGGAAUCUUCCGCAAUGGGCGAAAGCCUGACGGAGCAACGCCGCGUGUGUGAUGAAGGUCUUCGGAUCGUAAAACUCUGUUAUUAGGGAAGAACAUAUGGGUAAGUAACUGUGCACAUCUUGACGGUACCUGAUCAGAAAGCCCCGGCUAACUACGUG